This 252-nucleotide long non-coding RNA is filed under the name Lathyrus oleraceus (garden pea). RNAcentral describes it as "Pisum sativum (pea) long non-coding RNA (PSAT_LNC026243)". Lineage: Eukaryota; Viridiplantae; Streptophyta; Magnoliopsida; Fabales; Fabaceae. The record is from RNAcentral.
UUGGAUGUGGCUAUAAUUAUUUGAUGUCUUUGCUCUUCAAGAUAAUAUAAUUGUGCAUUUGUGUGUUGCUUGAUUCUAAAUGUCCAAGGGAAUUCUGGGUUUCUAUUGACAUUCUUGUCUAUUGGAUUGCUACCCAUUUGGUCAUGCUUGAUUCUAAAUGUCCAAGGGAAUUCUGGGUUUCUAUUGACAUUCUUGUCUAUUGGAUUGCUACCCAUUUGGUCAGAUCUUUUCAACUCUUAACUUUUAAUUUUG